Molecule: ribosomal RNA, 617 nt
Filed under: Diporodrilus pilosus
Lineage: Eukaryota; Metazoa; Annelida; Clitellata; Crassiclitellata; Lumbricidae
Description: partial 16S ribosomal RNA
Source: RNAcentral
AUUUUCACCCACUCUCUAAAUAAUCCCCAAAUAAAACAAUUAUACAUCAACUAAAUAUUAUCAAACAAUAAAAAGUACUAUAAAGGAAAUACAAACUAAAUAAAAGUAGUGAUAAACCCACAUACCUUGUGCAUUAUGGUUUUACAAGCACAAAAUUAAAUACAAGACUCCCGAAUUCUGCACGAGCUGCUAAAACGCUGUUAAGAACCCACUACUAGUUGUAGCACCAACUUUAGGAAACCUUAUAGCAGAGGCUACAUACCAAACGCGUCAGGAAAUUGCUGGUUCUCAGUAAAAUUUAUCAAUUAAUACAUGUAAUUUAUAUUACAGUGUAAAUUUACAGAGGACAAGCCCUGUAAACAAAGCAUAAAUAAAAUUAAAAUUCAUAUUAUAUAGGCCUAAAAACAGCCAUCAAUAAUACUUUACCGUAAACAAAACUUUUUUAAUUUAUAUUAUAAAUAAGCCGCAUAAAACUGAGAUUUUAGAUAAAUAAUUAAUCUUAAAAUAUUAUGUAAAAAUAAGUAUUAUUACCACCACCGCGAAUAAAGUAAAUAAAAAACAAUAAGACUUAAAUAAACACUUAUAAAGGAACUCGGCAAACCCUAGUUCGACUGUUA